RNAcentral lists this long non-coding RNA (566 nucleotides) under Felis catus (domestic cat). RNAcentral describes it as "lncRNA (ENSFCAG00000042663.2)". Lineage: Eukaryota; Metazoa; Chordata; Mammalia; Carnivora; Felidae. The record is from RNAcentral.
CAAUUAUCUGGUAUGAUAGAUGACAAGCAAGGAGCUGAACAGAUGGAAAGAGGGGGUCACUGAUGGAGACCAGAGUUGACCUGUGGCCAAAGAUGGACUGUCAGCCUCCGCAGCAGAAACACGAGAGGAAGAAGAUAAACACUCAAAAGUGGAAAAGAGUCCUGUUUUAAGAGCUAGUGAAAGCCCCAUCCGUUGAAUUUUGGAUAUAAAAAAAGUCCUUCUCCCAAACUGGAAGGUUUUAUUCGCCAGCUACCGCUCAAUCACACCUGUGAAGUUAUUGUUUCUAACACCAUAAACUCGAUAUCCUGGGAUGGCUCAUGGCUUUUGAGUCUCGUGAGAAAUUUCCGAGAGUUACUGCAUUCCCUGCAACUUCUGGGAUCCAGGAAGAAUAUGAUUUGGUCCCUGUCUUCUAGGACGGAAGCCAGCUUUGCAAAUGCAUCAGUACAAAAAUAAUGAGUGAGAGUUGUAUGCGGGAGAGUCAGGAAGAACUGAACACUCUCAAAGAUUACCACUCUGGAACCGGGUUUUAUGCGAACAUGUUGUCACAACCAAGGAAGCAAUCACAC